GAUAGCUCAGUUGGUAGAGAAUGAGGCUCUUAAUCUCACGGUUGUGGGUUCGAGCCCCAUGUGGGGCA
This 68-nucleotide transfer RNA is filed under the name Podarcis lilfordi (Lilford's wall lizard). Its description in RNAcentral is "tRNA.Lys". The stretch from base 3 to 60 matches the Rfam family "tRNA", at positions 8 to 63 of the family's 71-position model. Rfam says of the family: Transfer RNA (tRNA) molecules are approximately 80 nucleotides in length. Their secondary structure includes four short double-helical elements and three loops (D, anti-codon, and T loops). Lineage: Eukaryota; Metazoa; Chordata; Lepidosauria; Squamata; Lacertidae. The record is from RNAcentral.